Molecule: ribosomal RNA, 440 nt
Filed under: uncultured bacterium
Lineage: Bacteria
Description: bacterial SSU rRNA
Rfam family: Bacterial small subunit ribosomal RNA
Source: RNAcentral
CCUACGGGUGGCUGCAGUCGAGAAUCUUCGGCAAUGGGCGCAAGCCUGACCGAGCGACGCCGCGUGCGGGAUGAAGGCCUUCGGGUUGUAAACCGCUGUCGUAGGGGAGGAAAUACCGGUGGGUUCUCCCAUCGGCUUGACCUAUCCUAGGAGGAAGGACGGGCUAAGUUCGUGCCAGCAGCCGCGGUAAUACGAACCGUCCAAACGUUAUUCGGAAUCACUGGGCUUAAAGGGUACGUAGGCGGCGCUGUUAGUCGGGUGUGAAAGCCCUCGGCUCAACCGAGGAAUUGCGUCCGAUACUGCAGUGCUUGAGGGAGACAGAGGUAAGCGGAACUGAUGGUGGAGCGGUGAAAUGCGUUGAUAUCAUCAGGAACACCGGUGGUGAAAGCGGCUUACUGGGUCUUUUCUGACGCUGAGGUACGAAAGCUAGGGGAGCGAAG